AACGCUGGCGGCGUGCUUAACACAUGCAAGUCGAACGAUGAUGCCCAGCUUGCUGGGCGGAUUAGUGGCGAACCGGUGAGUAACACGUGGGUGAUCUGCCCUGCACUUCGGGAUAAGCCUGGGAAACUGGGUGUAAUACCGGAUAUGACCACAGGAUGCAUGUUUUGUGGUGGAAAGGUUUACUGGUGCAGGAUGAGCCCGCGGCCUAUCAGCUUGUUGGUGGGGUAAUGGCCUACCAAGGCGACGACGGGUAGCCGGCCUGAGAGGGCGACCGGCCACACUGGGACUGAGACACGGCCCAGACUCUACGGGAGGCAGCAGUGGGGAAUAUUGCACAAUGGGCGAAAGCCUGAUGCAGCGACGCCGCGUGAGGGAUGACGGCUUCWGGUUGUAAACCUCUUUCAGCAGGGACGAAGCGCAAGUGACUGUACCUGCAGAAGAAGCACCGGCUAACUACGUGCCAGCAGCCGCGGUAAUACGUAGGGUGCGAGCGUUGUCCGGAAUUACUGGGCGUAAAGAGUUCGUAGGCGGUUUGUCGCGUCGUGUGUGAAAUCCCGCAGCUCAACUGCGGGCUUGCAGGCGAUACGGGCAGACUUGAGUACUGCAGGGGAGACUGGAAUUCCUGGUGUAGCGGUGAAAUGCGCAGAUAUCAGGAGGAACACCGGUGGCGAAGGCGGGUCUCUGGGCAGUAACUGACGCUGAGGAACGAAAGCGUGGGUAGCGAACAGGAUUAGAUACCCUGGUAGUCCACGCGUAAACGGUGGGCGCUAGGUGUGGGUUUCCUUCACGGAUCCGUGCCGUAUGACGCAUUAAGCG
This 816-nucleotide ribosomal RNA is filed under the name Rhodococcus sp. J109. RNAcentral's name for it is "bacterial SSU rRNA". It matches the Rfam family "Bacterial small subunit ribosomal RNA", at positions 32 to 866 of the family's 1533-position model. The record is from RNAcentral. Lineage: Bacteria; Bacillati; Actinomycetota; Actinomycetes; Mycobacteriales; Nocardiaceae.